RNAcentral lists this long non-coding RNA (1549 nucleotides) under Olea europaea subsp. europaea. Lineage: Eukaryota; Viridiplantae; Streptophyta; Magnoliopsida; Lamiales; Oleaceae. The record is from RNAcentral.
UGAACAUAUUUAAAUGUUUUUCUCUAGUUAGAAGAAUUUUAGGUAACUUCCUCGGAAAACUCUUCCCCAUAAUUCCAAUAUUUCAAAGAAAAAUCAAUGAGACACGAUAUUUUACCAAACUCAGUCAAUAAACCUACUGCCAUAGACGAUAAUGUAAAUUAAAAUAAGAUUGGAAGGUGAAAUAAUGAAAAGAAUAUAAAAAAAAUAUGCAUAUGAAUAAAUUGAUCAAAUCAAAAGGUCGAGUUAGAAGCAUUCUAUGCAUGAUAUUCAUACAAAUCGAUCUAACAACAGAAGAUCAUGAACACAUAUUCCAAUCUUCCACAGUACACCGAUAUAUACAUACACUGAUAUAUGUAUAUAAUAACUCAUACAGAAGUGAGAAUUGGCAGAAAUACUGGGCACUUGUUAUGGGGAAAAGGCCAAGAAUAUCAGCAAAAACAUGAUCAAAACUGGGACGAGGAGGAGAACUGGCGGCGGCGGCGGAAGUGGUGGCAGAAACAGUGGCAACACCAAGAGUGAUAAAGUUAACAAAACCAUUAUAAUCACCCCCCUUAAACUAAAAUACCUUAACAUCAAAUCCUUCAAUGGCCUUUGAUUUUCACUGCUUUUCACCUGAAAUGCUAGACUCUGCUCAAUCCUGUACAUCUUCAUCUUCAUCCAUUACAGUCAAACAAAUCUCGAAUUUCUGCUUAUACUAUGGUGUAGUGUUGAGUUUUAGGCCCUUGUUCUGCUCUGCAACCAAGAAUUUAUGUUAUAAAAUGAAGAGAGAUUAUUGCGUUACGAGGGAGAAGGUGGGACGGGUCUUCGUCAAUUCGACACGUCAUAUGACAAGCACAAACGUAUUGUCAAAGUUUGGGUUAGAUUCAUAGCACCUGUCUGAUUUUUUUGUAAUAUUUAGGGGUGGGGAAAUUUACAGUUGGAGUCCCCAACUAAUUAAAAAUGUAGCAAAAACUGCUACAAGUAAAUUAAAAAUUACAUAACCUUUUACAUAAUGCCAAAUAACACUAUAUUAUCUGUUAGUUUAAGACACAGUAUGCUUUUUCAUCUAAUUUUUACCCUCUACAUGAUUUCAAUUACUUCUUUUGACUCUUUUUAUUUUAUUUUUUAUAUACAAACAGCAAAAUCCCCAAUAUAAUAUAUUGGCAGCCUUAGUCUCCAAGGUUCCAACAUUUCAUUUUUAUCAUGUUUGGGAUGGAAUUGAAAUCGUCCUCUUGUAUUUAGUUAAAAAUUAAAAAUUCGAUGAUACAAUCAAACAAAAAUAAAUAAAUAUGGAAAAGGAAAAUAUUAUAGAAGAUAAGGAUUGGUGGAUUUUGUACUCUUUUAUUUUUCUGUUUUCCUUUUAACUUUUUAUUUUUCUUUUUUAUUUUCUAAUAAGAAUUUUAAUUAAUAGUAAGGGUAAAUUAAACGGCGGGAUUGCAGCCUCUAAAAUAAUAGGUUGAGGAUCUACUUGCUACAUUUCCAAUAGGUUGGGGACCUAAACAAAUUGGUUUGCUUUCUCUCGCCAGAAAUCUGCCUAUGAUUAGGUUUAGAUGUCCCUACUUUGUUUCAU